Molecule: transfer RNA, 383 nt
Filed under: Microcystis aeruginosa KLL-C004
Lineage: Bacteria; Bacillati; Cyanobacteriota; Cyanophyceae; Chroococcales; Microcystaceae
Description: 16S-23S ribosomal RNA intergenic spacer
Rfam family: tRNA (bases 135-208)
Source: RNAcentral
AAGGGAGACCUAAUUCAGGUAGGAGACGAAAAAAAAGUAGUCGCUACCAAGAAUCAAUCCCAAAAGGUCGGAGCGAGGCGAAAUUGGCUUUCAAACUAGGUUCUGGGUUCAAACAAGACCUGAAUCAGGAACAAGGGCUAUUAGCUCAGGUGGUUAGAGCGCACCCCUGAUAAGGGUGAGGUCCCUGGUUCGAGUCCAGGAUGGCCCACCUGCACAGGUGGCAAAAACAAGAGAAGCGAGGAAUCAGCACCUUAUCUUACUUAUAUAGUAAGAGAGAAUGCUGGCUCUGAGUAAAGAGUCCAGAGGAACCUUGAAAACUGCAUAGAGCUAGGUGAAAAAGCCAAAAAAGAAGACCGCAAGGUCAAGCUAAUAAGGGCUAACGG